Molecule: non-coding RNA, 25 nt
Filed under: Mus musculus (house mouse)
Lineage: Eukaryota; Metazoa; Chordata; Mammalia; Rodentia; Muridae
Source: RNAcentral
CUACUUCUCGAUAUCUGAUGCAGGA